Molecule: long non-coding RNA, 166 nt
Organism: Portunus trituberculatus (swimming crab)
Lineage: Eukaryota; Metazoa; Arthropoda; Malacostraca; Decapoda; Portunidae
Exons: 2
Source: RefSeq, a predicted model, not a curated record
AUAAAUUCAACUCUACAAUCCCAUUUUCUUACAGCUACACUACUCCUUAUGCCAUUUUCCUUACAGAGCGCAUAGAAAACGUUGUGUGUGUGUGUGUGUGUGUGUGUGUGUGUGUGUGUGUGUGUGUGUGUGUGUGUGUGUGUGUGUGUGUGUGUGUGUGUGUGUG